ACCUUUUUUGUUGCGGGAAUAGCUCAGUAGGCAGGGAUUUCCGGUUGCAAUCUAGAGGUCACGAGUUCGAGUCCGGCUUCCCCCUUUGGUUUUUUCAACUUGUUAGUUUGCUUGUUAGCUUAAAAGUGGAGCAAUCCACGACUGGGCUAU
Molecule: non-coding RNA, 150 nt
Organism: Caenorhabditis elegans
Lineage: Eukaryota; Metazoa; Nematoda; Chromadorea; Rhabditida; Rhabditidae
Source: Ensembl